GAUUCUGGCUCAGGACGAACGCUGGCGGCGUGCUUAACACAUGCAAGUCGAGCGAUGAAGCUUCUUCGGAAGUGGAUUAGCGGCGGACGGGUGAGUAACACGUGGGUAACCUGCCUCAUAGAGGGAAUAGCCUUCCGAAAGGAAGAUUAAUACCGCAUAAGAUUGUAAUAUCGCAUGAUAUAGCAAUUAAAGGAGUAAUCCGCUAUGAGAUGGACCCGCGUCGCAUUAGCUAGUUGGUGAGGUAACGGCUCACCAAGGCGACGAUGCGUAGCCGACCUGAGAGGGUGAUCGGCCACAUUGGGACUGAGACACGGCCCAGACUCCUACGGGAGGCAGCAGUGGGGAAUAUUGCACAAUGGGGGAAACCCUGAUGCAAGCAACGCCGCGUGAGUGAUGACGGUCUUCGGAUUGUAAAGCUCUGUCUUCAGGGACGAUAAUGACGGUACCUGAGGAGGAAGCCACGGCUAACUACGUGCCAGCCGCGGC
This 486-nucleotide ribosomal RNA is filed under the name uncultured bacterium. RNAcentral's name for it is "bacterial SSU rRNA". It matches the Rfam family "Bacterial small subunit ribosomal RNA", at positions 15 to 518 of the family's 1533-position model. The record is from RNAcentral.